GCAGAGAUGCUUUGGUGCCUUCGGGAACUCUGAGACAGGUGCUGCAUGGCUGUCGUCAGCUCGUGUUGUGAAAUGUUGGGUUAAGUCCCGCAACGAGCGCAACCCUUAUCCUUUGUUGCCAGCGGUUCGGCCGGGAACUCAAAGGAGACUGCCGGUGAUAAACCGGAGGAAGGUGGGGAUGACGUCAAGUCAUCAUGGCCCUUACGGCCAGGGCUACACACGUGCUACAAUGGCGCAUACAAAGAGAAGCGACCUCGCGAGAGCAAGCGGACCUCAUAAAGUGCGUCGUAGUCCGGAUUGGAGUCUGCAACUCGACUCCAUGAAGUCGGAAUCGCUAGUAAUCGUAGAUCAGAAUGCUACGGUGAAUACGUUCCCGGGCCUUGUACACACCGCCCGUCACACCAUGGGAGUGGGUUGCAAAAGAAGUAGGUAGCUUAACCUUCGGGAGGGCGCUUACCACUUUGUGAUUCAUGACUGGGGUGAAGUCGUAACAAGGUAAGCGUAGCGAG
RNAcentral lists this ribosomal RNA (509 nucleotides) under uncultured bacterium. RNAcentral describes it as "bacterial SSU rRNA". It matches the Rfam family "Bacterial small subunit ribosomal RNA", at positions 1000 to 1509 of the family's 1533-position model. The record is from RNAcentral.